RNAcentral lists this ribosomal RNA (465 nucleotides) under Vreelandella stevensii. Its description in RNAcentral is "partial 16S ribosomal RNA". It matches the Rfam family "Bacterial small subunit ribosomal RNA", at positions 338 to 795 of the family's 1533-position model. Lineage: Bacteria; Pseudomonadati; Pseudomonadota; Gammaproteobacteria; Oceanospirillales; Halomonadaceae. The record is from RNAcentral.
CCUACGGGAGGCUGCAGUGGGGAAUAUUGGACAAUGGGCGAAAGCCUGAUCCAGCCAUGCCGCGUGUGUGAAGAAGGCCUUCGGGUUGUAAAGCACUUUCAGUGGGGAAGAAAGCCUUGGGGCUAAUACCCUCGAGGAAGGACAUCACCCACAGAAGAAGCACCGGCUAACUCCGUGCCAGCAGCCGCGGUAAUACGGAGGGUGCGAGCGUUAAUCGGAAUUACUGGGCGUAAAGCGCGCGUAGGCGGUCUGAUAAGCCGGUUGUGAAAGCCCCGGGCUCAACCUGGGAACGGCAUCCGGAACUGUCAGGCUGGAGUGCAGGAGAGGAAGGUAGAAUUCCCGGUGUAGCGGUGAAAUGCGUAGAGAUCGGGAGGAAUACCAGUGGCGAAGGCGGCCUUCUGGACUGACACUGACGCUGAGGUGCGAAAGCGUGGGUAGCAAACAGGAUUAGAUACCCGUGUAGUC